RNAcentral lists this ribosomal RNA (253 nucleotides) under uncultured bacterium. RNAcentral describes it as "partial 16S ribosomal RNA". It matches the Rfam family "Bacterial small subunit ribosomal RNA", at positions 524 to 776 of the family's 1533-position model. The record is from RNAcentral.
UACAGAGGUCCCAAGCGUUGUUCGGAUUCAUUGGGCGUAAAGGGUGCGUAGGCGGUCUGCUAAGCGUGUGGUGAAAGCUCGGGGCUCAACCCCGAGUCGGCCGUGCGAACUGGUGGACUGGAGCAUGUCAGAGGCAGGCGGAAUUCCGGGUGUAGCGGUGGAAUGCGUAGAGAUCCGGAAGAACACCGGUGGCGAAGGCGGCCAUCUGGCUCGGUACUGACGCUCAGGUUCGAAAGCGUGGGGAGCAAACAGG